GAGGGUAUAGCUCAAGUGGUAGAGCGCAUGUUUAGCACGCAUGAGGCCCUGGGUUCAAUAGCCAGGACCACCA
Molecule: transfer RNA, 73 nt
Filed under: Camelus dromedarius (Arabian camel)
Lineage: Eukaryota; Metazoa; Chordata; Mammalia; Artiodactyla; Camelidae
Also listed under: 1 other name
Rfam family: tRNA
About the family: Transfer RNA (tRNA) molecules are approximately 80 nucleotides in length. Their secondary structure includes four short double-helical elements and three loops (D, anti-codon, and T loops). Further hydrogen bonds mediate the characteristic L-shaped molecular structure. tRNAs have two regions of fundamental functional importance: the anti-codon, which is responsible for specific mRNA codon recognition, and the 3' end, to which the tRNAs corresponding amino acid is attached (by aminoacyl-tRNA synthetases). tRNAs cope with the degeneracy of the genetic code in two manners: having more than one tRNA (with a specific anti-codon) for a particular amino acid; and 'wobble' base-pairing, i.e. permitting non-standard base-pairing at the 3rd anti-codon position.
Source: Rfam by way of RNAcentral